Non-coding RNA from Acanthosepion pharaonis, 91 nucleotides. The record is from the annotation of a GenBank genome assembly. NCBI's taxonomy places the organism in Eukaryota, Metazoa, Mollusca, Cephalopoda, Sepiida, Sepiidae.
AACACACCGGUUCCCGUAUGAUCACUGAAGUUAAGCAACGUCGAGCCUGGUCAGUACCUUGAUGGGUAAUUGUUUGGGAAUACUAGGUGUU